Long non-coding RNA from Mytilus californianus (California mussel), 747 nucleotides. RefSeq lists it as uncharacterized. NCBI's taxonomy places the organism in Eukaryota, Metazoa, Mollusca, Bivalvia, Mytilida, Mytilidae. The transcript is spliced from 3 exons. The record is from RefSeq and is a predicted model, not a curated record.
ACAAGUUACAAAAUGCUUCUACAUUAAAAUAUACUUGCUAUUUAUAGUUUGCCCUUAUUUUGUGCUGUUAUACAACUUUUCAAGGUUAGAUUGAGUGUUGAGUGUUUUCAAACUUGUUUAACCAUGCCACAUUCUUUAUGUGCCUGUUCCAAGCCAGAAGCUUGUAAUCCAGCGAUAGUUGCAGUUUGAUGGCUCUUUUAUAGCUUACUGUAUGGUAUGGGUUUUGCUCAUUUUUGACAGCUGUAUGGUAUUGGGUUUUGCUCAGUAUUGACAGCUGUAUGGUAUGGGUUUUGCUCAUUUUUGACAGCUGUAUGGUAUGGGUUUUGCUCAUUUUAGACAGCUGUAUGGUAUGGGUUUUGCUCAUUAUUGACAGCUGUAUGGUAUGGGCUUUGCUCAUUAUUGACAGCUGUAUGGUAUGGGUUUUGCUCAUUAUUGACAGCUGUAUGGUAUGGGUUUUGCUCAUUUUUGACAGCUGUAUGGUAUUGGGUUUUGCUCAUUUUUGAGAGCUGUAUGGUAUUGGGUUUUGCUCAUUAUUGACAGCUGUAUGGUAUGGGUUUUGCUCAUUUUUGACAGCUGUCUGGUAUUGGGUUUUGCUAAUUUUUGACAGCUGUAUGGUAUGGGUUUUGCUCAUUAUUGACAGCUGUAUGGUAUGGGCUUUGCUCAUUAUUGACAGCUGUAUGGUAUGGGCUUUGCUCAUUAUUGACAGCUGUAUGGUAUGGGUUUUGCUCAUUAUUGACAGCUGUAUGG